UACGGAGGAUCCGAGCGUUAUCCGGAUUUAUUGGGUUUAAAGGGUGCGUAGGCGGUUUGAUAAGUUAGAGGUGAAAUGUCGGGGCUCAACCCCGAAACUGCCUCUAAUACUGUUGGACUAGAGAAUAGUUGCGGUAUGCGGAAUGCGUGGUGUAGCGGUGAAAUGCAUAGAUAUCACGCAGAACUCCGAUUGCGAAGGCAGCAUACCGGCGCCCUACUGACGCUGAGGCACGAAAGCGUGGGUAUCGAACAGG
RNAcentral lists this ribosomal RNA (253 nucleotides) under uncultured bacterium. RNAcentral describes it as "partial 16S ribosomal RNA". It matches the Rfam family "Bacterial small subunit ribosomal RNA", at positions 524 to 776 of the family's 1533-position model. The record is from RNAcentral.